AACUGGCUAAUCAUCAUUCUAUUGUAAGAAGUAAAGGAGGGCUUGGCAGCAUCCCUACAGUUCCAUGAGAGGAUCUUUAUAGGUUAGAAAGAGAGAGUGCUCCCAAACCCCCCUCGGUCACACAUGAUUUCUUUCUUGAAGAAUCCUCAACAGACGUACAACUUCUAGAAAUGUUUUCUAAGGUAAAUUGAAGUUGAUUGAAGCAUGAAGAAAAAUCAUGAGAGAAUUUAUCCUGAUGAGUGCGGAACUUGGGUUAGAAGGAGCCUCAGAUGACGAGCUAAAAGCUUGCACAUCUUGCUGGUUGACAGUAUGCAUGGUAUAAAGGAUCCCACCAGUCUCCAUACUUCCUUGCAAGAGCUCGUCUGUUUUGUAACUAAAGCAUUGGUAGAUUGCAACUGGAUCUCCUCCUCUUCGGUGACUCCUCGAGAAUUAUAACUUUAGAAAUAGGGGGGAGACCCACCUAGAUGAAUGGUUAACCAAUGGCAUCUUAGUGAGAGAUAUUUUUUGCUUGUCCUUCAGAAUUAUCAAAUUUGAUGAAGCACGUGAGGUAACCACUAUGUCUAUACUUUGGGGUUCUGAAUGCUCCUCAGGAUCAUCAGUCGCCAACGGAGCAAAUCGGGAUCUGGAUCCGCUUGCAUGGGGUUUGUCAGCACCAACAGGUGCAGAUUCAAGUGAGGAUUAGAAAUUUUCUUAGGAAGGGACCAUGCAUCUGAAGACUGUCCACUAGCAAAACCAAAAGAAGGGUUUUUGAUUGACUCUUUUAUUGCCCCCAAAGUAAUUGGUACCCUGGCCAUCCAAAUCCAAGGACCAUAAAAUUGUUUGGACUCCUAAAUCUUUGCACAACUAUAGGAUUUCAUAGUUCUUCUGAGAAGUCCGUAGGAGUAGCACAAAUCCGACAGCUCUUCAUAACUGAAUUGCUGCCAUAUAAAAUUAUCCUUC
RNAcentral lists this long non-coding RNA (939 nucleotides) under Elaeis guineensis (African oil palm). Its description in RNAcentral is "long non-coding RNA (EGUI_LNC005819)". Lineage: Eukaryota; Viridiplantae; Streptophyta; Magnoliopsida; Arecales; Arecaceae. The record is from RNAcentral.